CCAGACCACCAUGAUAUUCGCAUAUAGAAUCUCGCUCCUCUUGCUUCCCUUCCUGACAUCUGUCCUCUCUCACAAACCACACGUUGCUCUGAAGUUUGGAGAUGACCUCCUUAGCUACAUAAUGAUAAACCCCGACAUGUCACCUCUGGAAGAGGCAGUGUCGGUCUGUAGUUGGGUCAAACAACUGAGUCCUACUUCACACCAUGGAGUCUGGAUGGACUACAAUACUCAGGAUUCUAGUACUGAGAUUUUUCUCUCUGAUAAUCUCUACUGGGCUUUUCUACAAGGAAGCAAUACUCCGCACAGCCAGACACCAGUACAUUCUCAGUGGUAUCAUGUAUGCCUAGCCUGGUCCUUUAGCAGUGGUACAGCAACGCUGUACUACAACGGUAAGCUGAUAGGGUCUCGCAGCACCGGUAGAAAGUUGUCUGUCUCUACUGGCUCCAUUGUUAUUGGACAAUAUCAUUCAACCUACAAAAUGGAGGCUACCUUUUAUAGCAGUGCUCGCUCGUUCGGUGGAGAAUUAACCAAGCUGAACAUCCUGAAACGGAAAGUCUCCGACCAAGAGGUAGCAAAAAUGUAUAAAUCAGGAGUAUGUUCCAACUACGAAGACACGCUAGAAAACGACAUCCACCUCUCUUGGGAGACGCUGCUGUCAGAUGACACUGAAAAACACGGGAAUAUUGUAAAGCUGAGCUUAACUUGUCCUGCCCACACACACGAGCCUACCACUGGGAUACCCACCACUGUGGGACCUACAGAAGAGUCUGAGGGGGGUUGCAAAAAUCGCUGGGCUUUCCUACGCUUAUCCGACAUUUACAAUAAGACAAUCGAGAAGGAAAUGCUUCAAGACUUGAUAGAGAGAUGGGAGCUUCUUGCCGAGUUUGAUGGCCAUCAAAUAGACGACACCCUAAUAGCACAUUUGACAAAACAUCACUGUAGCAGCGAAAUACUAAGAGGAGACAACGAAACUGAGGAAUCUGGUGAUUGCAAUAACCGUUGGGCCAUCCUCCGCUUUCCUGACUUUUUCGAGAACGAAGUAACAUCAGAAAUGAUCGAGGACUUGAGAGGACGCUGGGAGUUACUAGCUGAGUUUACAGGGCAUACAACUGAUAAUGCUCUUAUAGCUCACCUGAAAAAACAUCACUGCAAAACUGUGGAAUAAUUGACAGAUCUACAAAACCAAAAAGUCACGUGACACCUUAACUGAUCUCUGCUGAGUGCUGUGUGUGAUAUGAUGGAUUAACAAUUGAAACACGGAAAAAACAUUUCUUAACUUAACCUUAGAUAAAACAUUGUAAAAAUACCAUCAACAGUUUGUGAUUUGCAUGUGAACUCGGAACCACGAUUAAAAUUCGAUUAGACCAAUUUUUUUCAAUAACUGAUCAUAUAUGAAUAUCCAAAACAUCCUAUUAAAGUUAAAAUUUUAACAGCUGUUUUCAAGUUCACAUAGCCAUGUCACAUGUGUCUACGCGUACUGCGUGACUGGUUAACUUUAAGAACUGGUAUCGUUUGAGUAAGU
Bolinopsis microptera is the source of this 1522-nucleotide long non-coding RNA. RefSeq lists it as uncharacterized. Lineage: Eukaryota; Metazoa; Ctenophora; Tentaculata; Lobata; Bolinopsidae. The transcript has 4 exons. The record is from RefSeq and is a predicted model, not a curated record.